This 496-nucleotide ribosomal RNA is filed under the name uncultured bacterium. RNAcentral's name for it is "partial 16S ribosomal RNA". It matches the Rfam family "Bacterial small subunit ribosomal RNA", at positions 30 to 523 of the family's 1533-position model. The record is from RNAcentral.
UUGAACGCUGGCGGCAGGCCUAACACAUGCAAGUCGAGCGCGAAAGUUCUUCGGAAUGAGUAAAGCGGCGGACGGGUGAGUAACGCGUGGGAAUCUGCCUAGUAGUGGGGGACAACAGCCGGAAACGGCUGCUAAUACCGCAUACGCCCUACGGGGGAAAGGGGGGGAUCUUCGGACCUCUCGCUAUUAGAUGAGCCCGCGUCGGAUUAGCUAGUUGGUAGGGUAAAGGCCUACCAAGGCUACGAUCCGUAACUGGUCUGAGAGGAUGAUCAGUCACACUGGAACUGAGACACGGUCCAGACUCCUACGGGAGGCAGCAGUGGGGAAUAUUGGACAAUGGGGGCAACCCUGAUCCAGCCAUGCCGCGUGUGUGAAGAAGGCCUUAGGGUUGUAAAGCACUUUCAGUGGGGAGAAAGGUUUGUCACCUAAUACGUGAUGAAAUUGAUGUUACCCACAGAAGAAGCACCGGCUAACUCCGUGCCAGCCGCCGCCGUAA